Molecule: long non-coding RNA, 751 nt
Filed under: Bos indicus x Bos taurus (hybrid cattle)
Lineage: Eukaryota; Metazoa; Chordata; Mammalia; Artiodactyla; Bovidae
Description: lncRNA (ENSBIXG00005030045.1)
Source: RNAcentral
GGAGGCUUGGAGGUGAAGAGAUAUGCAGCCGUGUCACAUGGUGUCAUAAGUGGUGGAAUGAGAUGACCCCAAAGCCCUGCUCUGAUUACCAGAUUCCCUUUGCCCCAGCACCAAAGCAGAGGAGACCCAGAAGGAUAAGCCAGAGCAUUGGAGAGCUGGGUUCCCACCCCAACAGUAAGGCAUGGCCUUUGUUGUUAUAACUGAACAGAGUCCAAAGAAGGAAAAAAGGCAGGCCCUGAUCACAAGGAGUUCAAAGCUUAGGGUCACCACUGGGCCCCCAGGGGGCUCUCUGGGGCAGACCUCCGCUCCAGGCCACUCGGACACCUUGUCGCCCAAGCCUGCAGGGCUCGCUGCAGCUCCCGGCCUUUGUCCAGCUGGGUUCCCUGGGUCGCAAGGGCCUGCACAGAGACCCGGCCGCACUCUUCCCACGGGAGGCCUUUCCAUCCUCACUGUCUCCGCCAGGCCCCCAGCCCUGCGUGUGUUUUCUCUCUGUAAUGCUCCCUGGUGCUCUAUGGUGGAAACCCAAGUCGGAGCCUGCAGGUUCCUGACCACCCAGCAGUGGGGGCUGGGCUCACCUUCGAUCCUGACUCUUGCCCCAGCACUUUCUGCUCAGGGCUGCCCACUUGGGCCUUCUGAUAAAGGUAUGUUUCCCAGUUGGUUAUUUUCAAGGGAAAAGUCUCAUGUUUGGGGCAGGGAGGGAUUGACAGGGGAGAGGGGUGAUGGACUUUUUUUCUUCCCAGGAAGAGAAUGA